This 1398-nucleotide ribosomal RNA is filed under the name uncultured bacterium. RNAcentral describes it as "16S ribosomal RNA". It matches the Rfam family "Bacterial small subunit ribosomal RNA". The record is from RNAcentral.
AGAGUUUGAUCCUGGCUCAGGAUGAACGCUAGCUACAGGCUUAACACAUGCAAGUCGAGGGGCAGCAUGGUCUUAGCUUGCUAAGGCCGAUGGCGACCGGCGCACGGGUGAGUAACACGUAUCCAACCUGCCGUCUACUCUUGGACAGCCUUCUGAAAGGAAGAUUAAUACAAGAUGGCAUCAUGAGUCCGCAUGUUCACAUGAUUAAAGGUAUUCCGGUAGACGAUGGGGAUGCGUUCCAUUAGAUAGUAGGCGGGGUAACGGCCCACCUAGUCUUCGAUGGAUAGGGGUUCUGAGAGGAAGGUCCCCCACAUUGGAACUGAGACACGGUCCAAACUCCUACGGGAGGCAGCAGUGAGGAAUAUUGGUCAAUGGGCGAGAGCCUGAACCAGCCAAGUAGCGUGAAGGAUGACUGCCCUAUGGGUUGUAAACUUCUUUUAUAAAGGAAUAAAGUCGGGUAUGCAUACCCGUUUGCAUGUACUUUAUGAAUAAGGAUCGGCUAACUCCGUGCCAGCAGCCGCGGUAAUACGGAGGAUCCGAGCGUUAUCCGGAUUUAUUGGGUUUAAAGGGAGCGUAGAUGGAUGUUUAAGUCAGUUGUGAAAGUUUGCGGCUCAACCGUAAAAUUGCAGUUGAUACUGGAUAUCUUGAGUGCAGUUGAGGCAGGCGGAAUUCGUGGUGUAGCGGUGAAAUGCUUAGAUAUCACGAAGAACUCCGAUUGCGAAGGCAGCCUGCUAAGCUGCAACUGACAUUGAGGCUCGAAAGUGUGGGUAUCAAACAGGAUUAGAUACCCUGGUAGUCCACACGGUAAACGAUGAAUACUCGCUGUUUGCGAUAUACAGCAAGCGGCCAAGCGAAAGCGUUAAGUAUUCCACCUGGGGAGUACGCCGGCAACGGUGAAACUCAAAGGAAUUGACGGGGGCCCGCACAAGCGGAGGAACAUGUGGUUUAAUUCGAUGAUACGCGAGGAACCUUACCCGGGCUCAAACGCAGGGGGAAUAUAUAUGAAAGUAUAUAGCUAGCAAUAGUCACCCGCGAGGUGCUGCAUGGUUGUCGUCAGCUCGUGCCGUGAGGUGUCGGCUUAAGUGCCAUAACGAGCGCAACCCCUAUGGACAGUUACUAACGGGUGAAGCCGAGGACUCUGUCUAGACUGCCGGCGCAAGCCGCGAGGAAGGUGGGGAUGACGUCAAAUCAGCACGGCCCUUACGUCCGGGGCGACACACGUGUUACAAUGGCAGGUACAGAAGGCAGCCAGUCAGCAAUGACGCGCGAAUCCCGAAAACCUGUCUCAGUUCGGAUUGGAGUCUGCAACCCGACUCCAUGAAGCUGGAUUCGCUAGUAAUCGCGCAUCAGCCAUGGCGCGGUGAAUACGUUCCCGGGCCUUGCACUCACCGCCCGUCA